Long non-coding RNA from Homo sapiens (human), 2572 nucleotides. Ensembl annotates it as long intergenic non-protein coding RNA 2671. The record is from Ensembl. Lineage: Eukaryota; Metazoa; Chordata; Mammalia; Primates; Hominidae.
GGGUGGGAGUGACCAGGUGCCGUCCAUCACCCCUUUCUUUGAUUAGGACAGGGAACUCCCUGACCCCUUGCGCUUCCCAAGUGAGGCAAUGCCUCGCCCUGCUUCGGGUCGUGCACGGUGCGCGCACCCACUGACCUGCACCCACUGUCUGGCACUCCCUAGUGAGAUGAACCCGGUACCUCAGAUGGAAAUGCAGAAAUCACCCGUCUUCUGCGUCGCUCAGGCUCGAAAGCACUGUAUUUUAUGGCGAAAUGUUGAAAGCUAUGCUUGAAAUGGAAAUAGGUGCAGUGGAUGAGAUACUGUUUGAUAACAUGAGAAGACCAACAAGAUCAGAACAGAAACCCUCAGGCUACAAAUACAUGGAAAUAGCAAAUAGUGCCACCACGCCCAGCUAAUUUAUUUUGUAUUUUUCGGGGUCUCACCAUCUUGGCCAGGCUGGUCUUGAACUCCUUACCUUGUGAAACACCCACCUUGGCCUCCCAAACUGCUGGGAAUACAGGCAUGAGCCACCACACCGGGCCAAUACAUAGUUUUUUAUAAAGAGAUAUUCGCCUGUGAAAGAAAUUGAAUCCAUGGUUGUCAGAAGUGAAUAGAAAGUUAAAAACCAUUAAUAAGUUAAUAUUUUCAUUAAUUCAACAAAUAUGAUUGAGUACAAUGAGAUCCCAGGCACUAUUCAGGAUUUCCACAGACAUGAAUGAAACAAAAGUCUUCCUAAUGUCAGAGCUAAAGUAAUAAACACAGUACUUUUCAAUAAAAUCACAGGGAUUAUUGGACAAGGAAUGAGUAUUCACACCUAUAUUCUUUUCUUGAAGACAAGAAUGUUCAAGCACACUGAAGAUGAGGAACUAAAACUAAGACAAUGUAAAGAGGUCAAAUCGACUUUCUCUAUAAGCAAAGCAAAAGCAUCAUCAGUCUACCAUGACUCUCAGUGAAUCAAAAGCUAUUUAUCAGAAAAAAAAGUACAUUCGGCCGGGCGUGGUGGCUCACGCCUGUAAUCCCAGCACUUUGGGAGGCCGAGGCAGGUGGAUCACAAGGUCAGGAGAUCAAGACCAACCUGGCUAACACAGUAAAACCCCGUCUCUACUAAAAAUACAAAAAAUUCCCGGGCGUGGUGGCGGUUGCCUGUAGUCCCAGCUACUUGGGAGGCUGAGGCAGGAGAAUGGCAUGAACCCGGGAGGCAGAGCUUCCAGUGAGCCGAGAUUGUGCUACUACGCCCCAGCCUGGGCGAGACUCCGUCUCAAAAAAAAAAAAAAAAAAAAAAAGCAGAAAAAAGUACAUUCAUGGCUUGUAUCUCAGGUAUAUGUGGGCUUUGAUUUUUUAACCAGUCUGGUAAGUUGAUGAAAGAAAUCCCUGCUAAAUAUCAGCUCCCUACAAAAACCAGUGUACUAUCUGUUGACAAUGCAAAGUUAAGUUCAUUAAAAGUACCACAAUAAGAAAGAACUCUACUUUGAAAGAGUCUUAAAAAGGGCAAAUUAUGAAUGAAUGUUUACAUGGUUGUUGAAUCUGAGCUUUGGUUGUCUUUUAAGGGGACUGCUUUUUGAGAUUGGAUAAUUUUGUCACAUAAUCAUUUAGGGUUGUUUGACUUCUUUAAGACAGAAACCUUGAAGUAAUUCUUGGUAAGAAAAUUGUUAGAUUAAUAUUUAAUUGCUCGGAUAGCAAACAAUUUGGUUAGAUAAAUUGGUUUCAUUACUGUCUUAAAUAUUACAGUGAGGGUUUAUAGUCUUAUUCUUGUCCUCUUAAGCAAAAAUUUCCCAGACCAAAGACUCAGCCCUGAUCAUUUGUCAUCCUGAACUAGAGGAUAUAUAAUCGUCAUCUGUGGAGAUGAUCAGUCCAGAUCCGAACUGCUGAUUGAGGAGUGGCCGUUAUGUGUUAUGUUUCUAAUGGUGAUCACUUCAACGUCUAGGAACAUCAGGUUUUCUUAUCCCUUUUCUGGAUGAUCAAUUGUGGUUUUUAAAAUUUUUUUUUAUCUUUUUAGUGGGGCAGCAAAUGUGCAACAGCAUUCAGACUUUGCAGAGCUCAUCUCUAAACAAACCAACAUGACCAGCGUAAAUAUCUAUAUUCAGAGUUCAUAUCCAAUUCUAAGCCAGAAUCCAAGUGUGCCUAAAUUAAAACAGGAGUUGGAUUCAAUCUCCAACCUGAAGAGAACAGAAAUCUACAUAUUACAUUAUUCUAUUAUGAUAGCACAUGUUUCACCUGUUGAGUAUAACUGUCUGCCCAAUCUUAUUAAAUUUUUAUGUGAUGUUUUCUAAAGCUUUAGUGAUAUUUUCUUGAUUCCCUGUCAGUUUUUGAACUGGAUGGUUUCCCCUGUUUUCCAGGCUUUGUGUAAAGGAUAAGGAGGAAGAUGCUUGAAGAAAAAGGAAAGCAAUUCAAAAUUACCUGUGAGUGGUUAAAUUUGUCAGAUAUCAAGUAAACAUGAGGACAGGUGAUUGAUGAUAAAAGGAGCUGGAUAUUGAUCAAGAAAAAAUGUGACAAAUUCCACAUUUGAUUUAAAUGUAUAACCACUUUACAUUUCCUCACUAUCUUUCUUUCAUUGUUAAUGUCCAUAAUUCUAAAAAAUAAAGUUAUAUUGUUA